UGACACAGAAGAUGUAUUACAAUCUAGGC
RNAcentral lists this non-coding RNA (29 nucleotides) under Mus musculus (house mouse). Lineage: Eukaryota; Metazoa; Chordata; Mammalia; Rodentia; Muridae. The record is from RNAcentral.